CUCACCAGGUCCUGGACCGCCGAGGAGCGCCAGGCCCGCGGCUGGGCGGCAGAACGCCGGCGGUGCCCGGGUCUCUCGCGGGUUCGCGGGGCCGGAAGGGACGGGGAGGGGCGGGAGCAGUACCGCAGGGCGCCGCGCCCAUCACCGCGCUGGGAGCCGGGAGGCGGGCGCGGAGGCGGCGGGACGGCGGCGCCCGGCUCUGCUGUCAGCGCGGGACGUCGGGUGCCUCAGGGAACACCCGGGCCGGGCUCUGGCGGGGCCGCGCCUCCCGCCCCUCUCCUGGCACCGCCCCGCGCGCUGCGCCGGACCCCGCGCUCGGCCGCUCCCGGCUGUGCGGCCCCGCGCCCCGCGCCUCCUUCGCCUGAACAGGGCUGCCCCGGGGGGUCUCGGCGGCGGAGAGGCAAGAAAGACGCCCAUGCUCCAGUUCCCAAGAGCAGGAAUUAUGUCUGAGAUUUUACCCUGGACUUUCCCCGGAUCUCUCAUUCUCUACAGCCAGACCCUUUCCUGUGGAACAUACAGAAAGUGUAUCCCCAAGCCCUCAGCUGCCAGGCACAAAAGGUUUAACAUCUUCUACCAAGGCCUGCCCUAUUUACCUCAAAAAGAACUAAGAAUGCUGCUUUCCUGAAAAAACAAACACACAAACCUCCGCGGCCGCCCCCGACCCCCUCCGUAAGCCCCCUCUGCAAGUGGAAUACAGUCUGAACUACUUUCACAGUUGGAAACCAGCUUACCAUUCUAACCUUCUAUCUGCUCAACACCUGUGUUCCAGUUAUACUGUGUUGGGCCAAUUGCCAUUCUUUGAAUAUAUCCUGGAUGUUUAAUGCCCCUGUGUGAUUUGCUCACUCUGUUCAUUUAUUCUGGAUUUCUCUUCAUCCCCAUCUUUACCUGUUGAAUUGUUCCCAAACCUUCAAGAGCCUACUGAGAUGCCUUCUUCUUUAACAAUGUUCUUCCAGAAAUUCCCAGUCAAAUCUGAGAGAUCAAUUAACUUCUCUUUCCCAACAUUCUGUGCUUCUAUUACAACACUUACUAAGUUGGUCUGUAUGUUACAGCUGGCUGUGUCCUCUUGGCUCCCCACUGUCAUAGCCUGCAAGGCAUAAUAUGUUUCUGACUCAACUUAAAUCCCAUGGCAAUUGGCAACAUGCGUUUUAAAAUGAAUAACCAUCCUUUGGAUGUAUAUAAACUUUGCUUAUUGUAAAAAUUCAAAUAAAUAAAAGUAUAAGGAAGGAAAUAAACCAACACACUGAAAUAACCACUGUUAAUGUUUUGAUGAUCAUAUUUUCAUGUAUAUAUUUAUGCAUAUGUCCAUCCAUCAUUUAUCCACAAAUGGAAUUAUCUCAUGUAUGUUAUGUUUAGGAUACACCCUUUUUUAUUAUUCUCUUUUCUUACCUGACUCUUCCCUCACUGUUCCCCCUCUCAACUAUUUUAAAAAAGUUAAGCAUGUUAAUAUAACCAUAUAUAUGUGUAUUUUACAAAGUGAGGAAUCAUAGUGUAAACCCUUCUCUGCUUCUUGCUUUCCUCAUUAAACAAUGUCAUAAAAAUCCUUCCAGUUUAACUGGUAUAGCACUGAUUCAUUCUUUUAUUUUAGAGGCUGCAUAAUGUUCCACAGUAUGGAUGUACCAAAAUUAACUCAAUUCUUAAAAAAUUUCCACUGGCACCAGUGUUUAAAUAAACAUCCUUUAUG
Molecule: long non-coding RNA, 1681 nt
Organism: Bos taurus (domestic cattle)
Lineage: Eukaryota; Metazoa; Chordata; Mammalia; Artiodactyla; Bovidae
Source: Ensembl